This 1050-nucleotide long non-coding RNA is filed under the name Rhinopithecus bieti (black snub-nosed monkey). RNAcentral's name for it is "lncRNA (ENSRBIG00000045200.1)". The record is from RNAcentral. Lineage: Eukaryota; Metazoa; Chordata; Mammalia; Primates; Cercopithecidae.
GGGGAGGGACGGGGCGGUGUCGGGUCCGGGCAGCGGGAGGCUCGGUCUCUUGGUUCCUUCUUUGGAGCUGCUGGCGGGGCCGCGGCGGGCGGGCGGGUCGGGUCUCGGCUGCUUCACCGGGUUAUUUUAUAAAAGAGGAAGAAAAAAAAAUAAAAGUCUCCGGCGGGGAGACGCGGAAUUUUGUAAAUUUUUUUGGGUUUUUUUAAAAGAUUUUUUUAGAUUUUUUUUGGAUUUUUUAAUAAUAAAUGUGUGUUCCGAGCCCGGAGCACACACUCCGCACUCUCAGCACUAACCGCCGGGGAGAAGGGGAAGCACCGCCUCCUGCACCCUCUACUUAUACUCCCCGCCGCACUCGCCCCGCCCCCGCGCGUCUGACGCCAGGGCCCUACGCGAGCGUCAGCGCCGAAAGAGGAGGAGACGCGGAGGCCAGGGGGAGGAGGGAAGAGAAAACAGCAGGAAAGAGCAGAGAGGAAGGGAGAGGUGGCGGCGGCGGAGGCUGCGUUGUGGGGGUGGGGCUGGGGCGAAGGGGCGGGGCUUCUGCGCAGGCGCCGCGGCCGGGGAAGCGGAGCUCGCGCUGCGUCGCGUCCGUGGGGGAGGGGAGGGCGGCACGCGGGCGGUCCUCGGGGGUGUCGGCUGAGGCGGUCCCGCCUUCCGCCCCGCCCUCCCCCGCCUCCACCAGGAGGAGCGUUAACCCGUCACCGCGGCGGUGGGCGGUGCAAGGGGCUUCCGGGUUCCUACGCCCUAACCACCCCCCACGUGCGCGGCCGCUUGGGGCCUCUUUCCGCCGCGGCCGGCCCGGCUCCUCUCGCCCCAGCUCCGAGGGACGCUGGGCACGGUCCUAGCCUCUGAAGAGGAAAAUUGAGACGCUGAAAGCCAUUCCCGUCUAAGAACUCAGAGGUGUCAGUCGUUUGCCUGCCAAUGCUCUCAUGUGAACUCAGAGGAUGGAACCGCGCAUUCGUGAAGUAUUCAGUAAGCAAACAAAAUGAAGACUUCUUGUGAGGGACAAAAUCAUUGGUUUGGUCAUCCUUAGUGAGAUGCAUUUUAAGAGAA